GCCCCAGUGAAUGGCAACAUUGUGAUGGUGAUAAUGAUCCAGUCCCAAGGCACCAGGCUCUGCGCUGGGGUCCACUUAUAACAAUUCAGCAAGAAACAUGUAAUGAUACCCACUUCACAGAAGAGGAAACUGAAGUUCAGAGCGGCAGAGUGAUUCGCCCCCAAAUCCCAAAGUGGCAGAGGUGGGCUCGAGCCCAGCUUCUCUACUGUCCCAGCUAGUCCCCCAUCUAACUGGGGCAGGUGGGGUCAGACAGUGGGGGCCAGACAGUGACAGAUGUUUCGGAGGAGACCUUGACUUAACAGGCCACCUGAUGCCAAAGAAUGGCUCGUACGGACUCCAGCUUCUGGAACACACUGAACCACCACCUGCCUGAGGCCAGAUGGAUUCGCACACACGCUUCACCCCACUAGAAGCAGGCCUGGGGUCUAAGUUCCAGUACAUGUGGGAGUCGGUGAGCCCAGCACAGGUCCCAGUCCCCCAAGGUGGCAGCCUCAGAGCUCCAUUGGCCCUUGGAACCAAGCUCUGUGACCCGUGGGGUAACCAUGGUGACAAUUAGCCAAGUCCAAAUGGAAACACGGCCCACUCUGAACCUGAAAGCCACGCUGAGGACAGGGGAGUCCCCCCUGCACGGAGACAUCAGUCCAUCCAGGGCCCAGCAAACUAAGGAGGCAGCUCCAUCUACAAUUUGAUUAAACUUGGAGAGAUUAUGAAGAAGUACUGCUGGCUUCUAGAUCUUUCCCUCAUUAUGGUCAUUUUGCCUGAAUUCCUGCCAUUUGACUGAGGCUUCUAUUGCUUUCAGCCUCCCUGCUAAAUUGCUGGACCACCUAGAAAGAUAAUGGAGGCCAUUUGCUACGAGCAUCAGAACGCCCCAUACAUCCUUUCGGAGCCAUGGAGGACACAGAGACACAAACAGCCUGAAUAUCGAGCAGGUGCUGACACCUGAACGCCUGGUCCAGGUCUCAGGAGCCUGGCUGCCCCCUUCCAUCUCCCAGCACUGUUUGGCCUGGAGACCUCAUGAGGACAGGGACUUUGCCUUCUGCCACGCUGCCUCCGAGGGGGCCAGCUGAACGUCUGCUACCUGGGAGGUCUUCAUACUUAUUUGCUGAAUGGGUGAAUAAAACUGGGCUCCAUUUGAGCUUCAGUAGGAGCCUGUGAGGUGCCCAGGGCUUCUAAACUCAGCCGAGGAUGAGAUAGGCAAAGCCCUCACCCGGAUGCAAAACUUCAGGGAGUGCCAAGAAACUCAGAGACCAAGAUAAAUAGCAUUCUAAUGCAAUAUUUAAGAAAGUCAAAAUUA
Molecule: long non-coding RNA, 1294 nt
Organism: Suricata suricatta (meerkat)
Lineage: Eukaryota; Metazoa; Chordata; Mammalia; Carnivora; Herpestidae
Exons: 3
Source: RefSeq, a predicted model, not a curated record